UGUAUGCAAACGCAAGCCCAACUCACAAGUGCAGUGCUCCACUCCACCAGAGAAGAAAAAACCAACCAACGUCCAUCAAUGGCGUCGUGCAGCCAGCACCUCCUCUCAGCCGUCGCCAUCUUCUCCGUCCUGGCCGCCGCCGCCACCGCCACCAGUAUGUACACCUGCUACGAAGGGGUGGGCCUCCCCGUGGACCCGCUCCAGGGCUGCCACUACUACGUGACCUCGCAGACCUGCGGCUUCGUGCCGCUGCUCCCAAUUGAGGUGAUGAAGGACCGGUGCUGCCGGGAGCUGGCCGCCAUCUCGUCCAA
This 311-nucleotide long non-coding RNA is filed under the name Triticum aestivum (bread wheat). Its description in RNAcentral is "long non-coding RNA (TAES_LNC017463)". Lineage: Eukaryota; Viridiplantae; Streptophyta; Magnoliopsida; Poales; Poaceae. The record is from RNAcentral.